Molecule: transfer RNA, 75 nt
Filed under: bacterium
Lineage: Bacteria
Description: tRNA-Cys
Rfam family: tRNA
About the family: Transfer RNA (tRNA) molecules are approximately 80 nucleotides in length. Their secondary structure includes four short double-helical elements and three loops (D, anti-codon, and T loops).
Source: RNAcentral
GGCCACGUGGCGAAGUGGGAACGCAGGGGUCUGCAAAACCUCGAUGAGCCGGUUCGAUCCCGGCCGUGGCCUCCA